CCUGUCCAACGUUAAUCGGGGCAGGGUGAGUCGACCCCUAAGGCGAGGCCGAAAGGCGUAGUCGAUGGGAAACAGGUUAAUAUUCCUGUACUUGGUGUUACUGCGAAGGGGGGACGGAGAAGGCUAUGUUGGCCGGGCGACGGUUGUCCCGGUUUAAGCGUGUAGGCUGGUUUUCCAGGCAAAUCCGGAAAACUAAGGCUGAGGCGUGAUGACGAGGCACUACGGUGCUGAAGCAACAAAUGCCCUGCUUCCAGGAAAAGCCUCUAAGCAUCAGGUAACAUCAAAUCGUACCCCAAACCGACACAGGUGGUCAGGUAGAGAAUACCAAGGCGCUUGAGAGAACUCGGGUGAAGGAACUAGGCAAAAUGGUGCCGUAACUUCGGGAGAAGGCACGCUGAUAUGUAGGUGAAGUCCCUCGCGGAUGGAGCUGAAAUCAGUCGAAGAUACCAGCUGGCUGCAACUGUUUAUUAAAAACACAGCACUGUGCAAACACGAAAGUGGACGUAUACGGUGUGACGCCUGCCCGGUGCCGGAAGGUUAAUUGAUGGGGUCAGCGCAAGCGAAGCUCUUGAUCGAAGCCCCGGUAAACGGCGGCCGUAACUAUAACGGUCCUAAGGUAGCGAAAUUCCUUGUCGGGUAAGUUCCGACCUGCACGAAUGGCGUAAUGAUGGCCAGGCUGUCUCCACCCGAGACUCAGUGAAAUUGAACUCGCUGUGAAGAUGCAGUGUACCCGCGGCAAGACGGAAAGACCCCGUGAACCUUUACUAUAGCUUGACACUGAACAUUGAGCCUUGAUGUGUAGGAUAGGUGGGAGGCUUUGAAGUGUGGACGCCAGUCUGCAUGGAGCCGACCUUGAAAUACCACCCUUUAAUGUUUGAUGUUCUAACGUUGACCCGUAAUCCGGGUUGCGGACAGUGUCUGGUGGGUAGUUUGACUGGGGCGGUCUCCUCCUAAAGAGUAACGGAGGAGCACGAAGGUUGGCUAAUCCUGGUCGGACAUCAGGAGGUUAGUGCAAUGGCAUAAGCCAGCUUGACUGCGAGCGUGACGGCGCGAGCAGGUGCGAAAGCAGGUCAUAGUGAUCCGGUGGUUCUGAAUGGAAGGGCCAUCGCUCAACGGAUAAAAGGUACUCCGGGGAUAACAGGCUGAUACCGCCCAAGAGUUCAUAUCGACGGCGGUGUUUGGCACCUCGAUGUCGGCUCAUCACAUCCUGGGGCUGAAGUAGGUCCCAAGGGUAUGGCUGUUCGCCAUUUAAAGUGGUACGCGAGCUGGGUUUAGAACGUCGUGAGACAGUUCGGUCCCUAUCUGCCGUGGGCGCUGGAGAACUGAGGGGGGCUGCUCCUAGUACGAGAGGACCGGAGUGGACGCAUCACUGGUGUUCGGGUUGUCAUGCCAAUGGCACUGCCCGGUAGCUAAAUGCGGAAGAGAUAAGUGCUGAAAGCAUCUAAGCACGAAACUUGCCCCGAGAUGAGUUCUCCCUGACUCCUUGAGAGUCCUGAAGGAACGUUGAAG
This 1509-nucleotide ribosomal RNA is filed under the name Escherichia coli. RNAcentral describes it as "partial 23S ribosomal RNA". It matches the Rfam family "Bacterial large subunit ribosomal RNA", at positions 1354 to 2843 of the family's 2925-position model. The record is from RNAcentral. Lineage: Bacteria; Pseudomonadati; Pseudomonadota; Gammaproteobacteria; Enterobacterales; Enterobacteriaceae.